This 502-nucleotide ribosomal RNA is filed under the name uncultured bacterium. RNAcentral's name for it is "partial 16S ribosomal RNA". It matches the Rfam family "Bacterial small subunit ribosomal RNA", at positions 29 to 507 of the family's 1533-position model. The record is from RNAcentral.
AGCGAACGCUGGCGGCGUGCCUAACACAUGCAAGUCGUACGUGAAAGGGAGCAAUCCCAAGUAAAGUGGCGUACGGGUGAGUAACACGUAGGUAAUCUACCCCAGAAUCUGGAAUAACCGGCCGAAAGGCUGGCUAAUACUGGAUAGAGCGACGGAAUCCGUAAUUGGGUUUUUCGGGAAAGGGAGCCUGUAAAAAGGCCUUCGUUCUGGGAUGAGCCUGCGUCCCAUCAGCUAGUUGGUGAGGUAAAAGCUUACCAAGGCAAUGACGGGUAGCUGGUCUGAGAGGACGGUCAGCCACACUGGAACUGAAACACGGUCCAGACCCCUACGGGAGGCAGCAGGGAGGAAUCUUGCGCAAUGGACGAAAGGCUGACGCAGCAACGCCGCGUGGGUGAAGAAGGCCCUCGGGUUGUAAAGCUCUGUCGAGUGGGACGAAAAUGCUUGGAGUUCACAGCUCCAGGAACUGACGGUACCACUAAAGGAAGCACCGGCUAACUCCGUG